GCAGUAGCCACGGUAAUACGUAGGGUGCGAGCGUUAAUCGGAAUUACUGGGCGUAAAGCGUGCGCAGGCGGUUCGUUAAGACAGAUGUGAAAUCCCCGGGCUUAACCUGGGAACUGCAUUUGUGACUGGCGAGCUAGAGUAUGGCAGAGGGGGGUAGAAUUCCACGUGUAGCAGUGAAAUGCGUAGAGAUGUGGAGGAAUACCGAUGGCGAAGGCAGCCCCCUGGGCCAAUACUGACGCUCAUGCACGAAAGCGUGGGGAGCAAACAGGAUUAGAUACCCCUGUAGUCCCUGUCUCUUAUAC
Molecule: ribosomal RNA, 302 nt
Filed under: uncultured bacterium
Lineage: Bacteria
Description: partial 16S ribosomal RNA
Rfam family: Bacterial small subunit ribosomal RNA
Source: RNAcentral